This 494-nucleotide ribosomal RNA is filed under the name uncultured bacterium. RNAcentral describes it as "partial 16S ribosomal RNA". It matches the Rfam family "Bacterial small subunit ribosomal RNA", at positions 28 to 507 of the family's 1533-position model. The record is from RNAcentral.
GACGAACGCUGGCGGCGUGCUUAACACAUGCAAGUCGAACGGUGAAGCGCCUUCCUUUUUGGUGGGUGUGGAUGAGUGGCGAACGGGUGAGUAACACGUGAGUAACCUGCCCCCUUCUUCUGGAUAACCGCAUGAAAGUGUGGCUAAUACGGGAUAUUCUGGGUCUGUCGCAUGAUGGGUCUGGGAAAGAUAUUGUUUCGGUGGGGGAUGGGCUCGCGGCCUAUCAGCUUGUUGGUGGGGUGAUGGCCUACCAAGGCGGUGACGGGUAGCCGGCCUGAGAGGGUGGACGGUCACACUGGGACGGAGACACGGCCCGGACUCCUACGGGAGGCAGCAGUGGGGAUUAUUGAACAAUGGGCGCAAGCCUGAUGCAGCGACGCCGCGUGAGGGAUGGAGGCCUUCGGGUUGUGAACCUCUUUCGCCAGUGAAGCAGGCCUGCCUCGUUUGUGGGUGGGUUGACGGUAGCUGGAUAAGAAGCGCCGGCUAACUACGUG